RNAcentral lists this transfer RNA (84 nucleotides) under Candidatus Curtissbacteria bacterium RIFCSPHIGHO2_02_FULL_40_17. Its description in RNAcentral is "tRNA-Leu". Lineage: Bacteria; Candidatus Curtissiibacteriota. The record is from RNAcentral. RNAcentral also lists the same sequence under 1 other name.
GCCCUGGUGCUGGAAUUGGUAGACAGGCACCGUUCAGAGCGGUGUAUCCGUAAGGGUGUGGGAGUUCGAGUCUCCCCCAGGGCA